AUGGUCCGCACGAUGACCGAAGGCAUCGUGAAUAGGUUUUUGAGGUCCGCGAAGGCCGAGAUGCUUCAAAAGAACGAGACGGAGAUAAGAUGUCCGUGUCGAAGAUGCAAGCUGAAUAGCCUUAUUGCGGACCCGGAUUCCGGGCAGGUGCGGGACCACCUGCUCUUGCGUGGUUUCAUGGAUGGCUAUAGGUGGCAAGGUGAUGAAGAUGACUACGAAGUCGUCCAUGGGGACCGGGCAAGAAAUGAGGAAGGGCAGCAAGACAACCACCGCGGCUCGGGGGGCGAGAAGACGAAGAAUCCCCAGGAGAUGAUCACGACGGUGAUGUUGUACAUAGUCAUCAUGUAG
RNAcentral lists this ribosomal RNA (348 nucleotides) under Triticum aestivum (bread wheat). Its description in RNAcentral is "partial small subunit ribosomal RNA". Lineage: Eukaryota; Viridiplantae; Streptophyta; Magnoliopsida; Poales; Poaceae. The record is from RNAcentral.